UGAGUGCUACUGGGAAUUUGAAUCAGACAUUUCUUCUUUUCUGCACGAAAUUGAAAGAUUUCAUGUAGUUCAGUCUAGACGUAAAAAAUCUUCAAGUAAGCAAAAGGGAAGGCCUAUAGAGACAACUGAAUCUAACAAGAAAGCCAAAGAGUUUCAACAGUACGAAAGCAGUCCUGAAUUUCUUUCUGGAGGAUCACUGCAUCCAUACCAGCUUGAAGGGCUGAAUUUCCUGCGUUUUGCUUGGUCCAAACAGACACAUGUCAUUCUUGCUGAUGAA
Molecule: unclassified non-coding RNA, 277 nt
Filed under: Hevea brasiliensis (rubber tree)
Lineage: Eukaryota; Viridiplantae; Streptophyta; Magnoliopsida; Malpighiales; Euphorbiaceae
Source: RNAcentral